GGGAAUGUAGCUAAGUGGUAGAGCACUUGCCUACCAUGCAGGAGGCCCUGGUUCAAUCCCG
Molecule: transfer RNA, 61 nt
Filed under: Ictidomys tridecemlineatus (thirteen-lined ground squirrel)
Lineage: Eukaryota; Metazoa; Chordata; Mammalia; Rodentia; Sciuridae
Also listed under: 1 other name
Description: Spermophilus tridecemlineatus (thirteen-lined ground squirrel) tRNA
Rfam family: tRNA
About the family: Transfer RNA (tRNA) molecules are approximately 80 nucleotides in length. Their secondary structure includes four short double-helical elements and three loops (D, anti-codon, and T loops).
Source: Rfam by way of RNAcentral